UCCCUACGGGGGGCAGCAGUGGGGAAUAUUGCACAAUGGGCGAAAGCCUGAUGCAGCAACGCCGCGUGAGCGAUGAAGGUCUUCGGAUUGUAAACCUCUGUCCUCUGUGAAGAUGAUGACGGUAGCAGAGGAGGAAGCUCCGGCUAACUACGUGCCAGCAGCCGCGGUAAUACGUAGGGAGCGAGUGUUGUCCGGAUUUACUGGGUGUAAAGGGUGCGUAGGCGGCUUGGCAAGUCAGUAGUGAAAUCCAUGGGCUUAACCCAUGAACUGUUAUUGAAACUGUCGAGCUUGAGUGAAGUAGAGGU
RNAcentral lists this ribosomal RNA (305 nucleotides) under uncultured bacterium. RNAcentral describes it as "bacterial SSU rRNA". It matches the Rfam family "Bacterial small subunit ribosomal RNA", at positions 335 to 658 of the family's 1533-position model. The record is from RNAcentral.